AGAGGCGCCUGCUCGGGUUCAGCCUUGCGCCUCGGCAGCCCGCCGGCUCCCAGUCCGGCUCCACGGGCGCUGCAGGUGACCCGGCGGCGCAUUCCAGCACUCCCCGCCGCCCGGGCCACCGCCGCCACCGCCACCGCAGGCGCCCCGGCCGCGACUCAGCCACAGGAAAGCGGAGAGCGCCCGAGCCGGUGCGUGCGCGGGGCUGGGCGGGGGCGGGGGACCCACGAAUCCAGCAGCCCGGACCCCGGGCUCGGAAACGCGACCCGGCCUGGGGCUCCUGCCUUCCGGAUUCCCGGAGAUCCCAGGCUGGGGGCAGGGAGAGGGGAGUCGGGGUUCCCCAGGCCAGACAGAGGAGAUUCCCCCUCGACCUGGGGCGGCGCUGAGACCCAACGCGGGCCACUCUGCGGACUCCGGGCCGCGAUCGAAGGAGCCACGCCAGGGGCGAUGGGGAUCCCCGCACAGGGUCAGGAUCCGCGUGCUUGCUAGUCCACCUUACCGCCGGAUGGGCAGCCGCUGCUGAGCGCCUGCUAGGUGGUCCGACGCGCAGCUCCGAGCUGUCCUGGACUGGCGCUUUUUAGGAGCGAAGGGGAACCCCGCAGGAGACCAGGGCCCUGAACUCAGGGGCUUCGCCACUGAUUGUCCAAACGCAAUUCUUGUACGAGUCUGCGGCCAACCGAGAAUUGUGGCUGGACAUCUGUGGCUGAGCUCCGGGCGCAACAGGGGCGGGGGCCCCAGGGACAGGGCUCAGCGCGGGCGAGACCUCUCGGGGCGGCGGCUGGCUGGCCCCAGCGCGAGGAUCGCGGUCCCGGCCCGCGCGCACAGAGACGCCGGUCCCUGCCACCAGCGCCGCCAUCCGCAUCCUCGUCCUUCUUCCUUCUCUGCGGGUGACCAGUCCCGGCCGGCAGGGUCCUUCAGUCGAUCGCGUCGUUUUUCCUCCUUUCAAAUUUCGGCCGGAACGAAGCCGGCACGCAGCGGCGGGGCCGAAUGUGGUCCGCCCUCAGCCCAAGCCGCAUGAAGUCGGGGGUGAAAGAAGAGGCCGGCCGAAUGCGCCCGCUAACUCGUUUCGCAGUUGUUCUAACUUAUCACCCCAAUACUCCCUACCUAAACAAAACAAAUCCUCAACCAACCCCUAAAUCCCAAACAAACCAACCCCUCCCGCAAGCCCCUCCGGACGGACCGAUGGGCUGAGCCUCCUCCAGCCGCUGCCAGGGUCCGACGGGCAAGCGUCACCAACGAUGCGCUCCAGCCCGGCAAUCUCCUCGGCUUUGGAAAUAGAAUUUGGAAAAACGAAUCCUUUUCAUUAAAGAAAAAUCUUCGGAGAUAGCGGGGUUUUAUUUGUUUAUUUCCUCAAAACCAGGGAAACGGAUCCUAGCGCCCAGUUUCCAGGACCUGAAAUCUAGUGUGUUCCAAUCAGGUGCACUGAUGGGGCCGCUCCUGCAGCUCAGGGGGCUGCAGAUGGGGAGGGACCUCCAGGUUACAAGAAUCGGACAGGCUGACCUUCUAGAAGUGCAGCUGUAGGGAGCUGUUCCAAGUCUCUUGCUCUGUUCCCUAACAUGGAGACCCUGACCUCAGGAACUAGUGAGGGUUGGUCACACAGCCUUUCUGGACAGCACUCAGACCCCAACACUGGCCUUAAUUUGCACCCAGACCAGCUCCUCCCCAUAGUCCCAACACGGCUGCUCCCACUCCACACAAGCCCAGAGGGUCUCUACCUGCAGUAGUCCUGGAGAAAAGCCCCAAGACUUCCAGAAGGGAAGGGGAGGAGGGGCAAAGCACUGUGCCUACCAG
Molecule: long non-coding RNA, 1788 nt
Filed under: Homo sapiens (human)
Lineage: Eukaryota; Metazoa; Chordata; Mammalia; Primates; Hominidae
Description: HSALNT0354986
Rfam family: mir-219 microRNA precursor family (bases 626-704)
Source: RNAcentral